UACGGAGGGUGCGAGCGUUGUUCGGAAUCACUGGGCGUAAAGCGCGUGUAGGCGGCCUCUUAAGUCUGGUGUGAAAGCCCGGGGCUUACCCCCGGAAGGGCACUGGAAACUGGGAGGCUGGAGUACCGGAGAGGAGGGCGGAAUUCCUGGUGUAGCGGUGAAAUGCGUAGAUAUCAGGAGGAACACCGGUGGCGAAGGCGGCCCUCUGGACGGAUACUGACGCUGAGACGCGAAAGCGUGGGGAG
RNAcentral lists this ribosomal RNA (245 nucleotides) under uncultured bacterium. RNAcentral's name for it is "partial 16S ribosomal RNA". It matches the Rfam family "Bacterial small subunit ribosomal RNA", at positions 524 to 768 of the family's 1533-position model. The record is from RNAcentral.